GUUACGAGAAGUUCAAGAAAUCAGCCCACUUAAGUCAACAAAAAAAAAAACGAAAAAUUACAAAAACUGAAAACUGAAAAAAAGUAAAAAAAAAAACACAAUGAAGAACACGGUAUUUUCGCCCUAAGGCAAGAGGUUCGGAACUUCGUUCCUAAUCCCCUUUUGAGCUUCCGUCAAACGGAAGAAAUCACUAUAUCAAUGGAAUCAACGAAUCUGUCCAGUACAAUCUUUUGGCACCCAGCAGAAAAUCACACAAAAUUUUCCCCAAAAUUAAGCCUCAUAAAUUGACAACAUUCACUCAAGAAUGAUGAAUCGAAGCCUAUACAAUAAUCACUCAAGAUUAUUUCAACAUAAGCCUCAAUACAUUCGACAACGACAUUCACUCAAGAAUAACACCAAUACACCUUGUUAAAUCACUCAAGAUUAUCUACACAAGGUUGAAUUAAUUUCUCAUCAACAGGGGCUAAUUUUUGGUGUGCAAAAAUUGAUAGAUUGAAAAGGACCACCGAGAGAGGAGAGAUGAGAGGCAGAGAGGAACUCGUAAAAAAUGAGAGAAAGGAAUCUGAAUUC
Molecule: long non-coding RNA, 570 nt
Filed under: Olea europaea subsp. europaea
Lineage: Eukaryota; Viridiplantae; Streptophyta; Magnoliopsida; Lamiales; Oleaceae
Source: RNAcentral